UCUAAUCGUAGUACCGCUCAUAGCCUGCAGCGUGGGAACGCUCCACAUCGCUUCACAUUAGACCCGUACCCGUACAAAAACGAAAUAAAAAAAUCAAACACGCCUCUUCCGUUCUCAACUUUCUCCGCCUCUCCUCCACGUUUUAGUGGCUUCACUUGGUUUUUGCUUCACUAGCUGCAGCGUAUAGAACUUUUUUUUAGCACC
Molecule: long non-coding RNA, 204 nt
Filed under: Sorghum bicolor (sorghum)
Lineage: Eukaryota; Viridiplantae; Streptophyta; Magnoliopsida; Poales; Poaceae
Description: long non-coding RNA (SBIC_LNC000361)
Source: RNAcentral